UUUCAUUUUAGAGAAAGCGUGAAACACAUAUAUGGCAUGUAUAUGGAUCACGUGGACAAGCAAACUUAGCUAAUAAAUAUGAACAAGGCAUACUAUAGCAUAGUGAUACGUCUCCAACGUAUCUAUAAUUUUUGAUUGCUCCAUGCUAUAUUAUCUUCUGUUUUGGACAUUAUUGGGCUUUAUUAUUCACUUUUAUAUUAUUUUUGGGACUAACCUAUUAACCGGAGGCCCAGCCCAGAAUUGCUGUUUUUUGCCUAUUUCGGAGUUCCGCAGAAAAAGAAUAUCAAACGGAGUCCAAACGGAAUGAAACCUUCGGGAACGUGAUUUUUAGAACGAACAUGAUCCAGGAGACUUGGACCCUACGUCAAGGAAGCUUCCAGGAAGCCAUGAGGUAGGGGGCGCGCCUACCCCCCCCCCCCCAGGCGCGCCCUCCACCCUCGUGGGCCCCACGUUGCUCCACCGACGUACUCCUUGCUCCUAUAUAUACCUACGUACCCCCAAACAAUCAGAUACGGAGCCAAAAACCUAAUUCCACCGCCGCAACCUUCUGUACCGACGAGAUCCCAUCGUGGGGCCUGUUCCGGAGCUCCGCCGGAGGGGGCAUCGAUCACGGAGGGCUUCUACAUCAUCACCAUAGCCCCUCCGAUGAAGUGUGAGUAGUUUACCUCAGACCUUCGGGUCCAUAGUUAUUAGCUAGAUGGCUUCUUCUCUCUUUUUGGAUCUCAAUACAAUGUUCUCCCCCUCUCUCGUGGAGAUCUAUUCGAUGUAAUCUUCUUUUUGCGGUGUGUUUGUUGAGACCGAUGAAUUGUGGGUUUAUGAUCAAGUUUAUCUAUGAACAAUAUUUGAAUCUUCUCUGAAUUCUUUUAUGUAUGAUUGAUUAUCUUUGCAAGUCUCUUCGAAUUAUCUGUUUGGUUUGGCGUACUAGAUUGAUCUUUCUCGCAAUGGGAGAAGUGCUUAGCUUUGGGUUCAGUCUUGCGGUAUCCUUUCCCAAUGACAGUAGGGGCAGCAAGGCACGUAUUGUAUUGUUGCCAUCGAGGAUAACAAGAUGGGGUUUUUUAUCAUAUUGCAUGAAUUUAUCCCUCUACAUCAUGUCAUCUUGCUUAAGGCGUUACUCUGUUUUUAUGAACUUAAUACUCUAGAUGCAUGCUCGAUAGCGGUCUAUGAGUGGAGUAAUAGUAGUAGAUGCAGGCAGGAGUCGGUCUACUUGUCUCGGACAUGAUGCCUAUAUACAUGAUCAUACCUAGAUAUUCUCAUAACUAUGCUCAAUUCUUUCAAUUGCUCAACAGUAAUUUGUUCACCCACCGUAGAAUACUUAUGCUCAUGAGAGAAGCCACUAGUGAAACCUAUGGCCCCCGGGUCUAUCUUCAUCAUAUUAAUCUUCCAACACUUAGUUAUUUCCUUUUCUUUUUACUUUGCAUCUUUAUCACAAAAAUACCAAAAAUAUUAUCCUAUCAUAUCUAUCAGAUCUCACUCUCGCAAGUGGCCGUGAAGGGAUUGACAACCCCUUAUCGCGUUGGUUGCGAGGAUUUAUUUGUUUUGUGUAUGUGCGAGGGACUCGCGCGUAGCCUCCUACUGGAUUGAUACCUUGGUUCUCAAAAACUGAGGGCAAUACUUACGCUACUUUGCUGCAUCACCCUUUCCUCUUCAAGGGAAAACCAACGCAGUGCUCAAGAGGUAGCAAGAAGGAUUUUUGGCGCUGUUGCGGGGAUGUGUACGCAAAAGUCAACAUACCAAGUACCCAUCACAAACCCUUAUCUCCCGCAUUACAUUAUUUGCCAUUUGCCUCUCGUUUUCCUCUCCCCCACUUCACCCUUGCCGUUUUAUACGCCCUUUUUCUGUUCGUCUUUUCGUUUGCCUUGAUGUCUUACUUGGCUCGUUUGCUCGUUUGGUUGAAAUAGUCGAGUAUUUAUUCCUAAACAAAGAAGCUAAUAUCUAUGGAUCCUCAUCCACUUGCCAAUCUUUUUAAGAGAUCCAAUUAUGAUGAACCAAUUCCUAGUGAUUUGGAUGCACUGGAUUAUCUUUAUAAGGUUUUGCUUGAAAUCCAUGAAUCUGAAAAUUGUGAUGAAGUGCUUUAUGAAGUGAUUCACGAUAGAUCUUUGAAUAAAAAGCAUGAUUUCAAUGAUUUUUUUAUAAAUUCUAUUGAUGUAAAUUAUGCUAAUAAUAUGCAAAACCCUAAGCUUGGGGAUGCUAGUUUUGCUAUGUCCACUACCUGUUGCAAUAAUCAUUAUUGGGGAGAUUCUUCUUAUGAUCUUGAAAAUUUAUUUAAGCCCCAUGAUGAAUAUAAGAUUGAUAAUAGUUUUUGCAAUAAUAUUGAAAGUGGGUUUGGAAGAGUGUCAACUUUAGAUCCCACAUAUUUGGAUAAUAUUCAAUCUUAUGAUUUUUUUUAUAAAAGUGGGCUUGGAGAAAUCAUGACUUUAGUUAAUGAUAAUCCCACUAUUUUGGAAGAGUGUCAACUUCGCAUGCAUGUGGAUGGUGUUGAGAAUAUGUUAUGUGAUAGCUAUAUUGUUGAAUUUUCUUAUGAUCCUACAUGUAAUUAUUAUGAGAGAGGAAAAUAUGGUUAUAGAAAUUUUCAUGUUACUAAAUUACCUCUCGUUAUGUUGAGAUUGCUAUUGUUCCUUUCCGCUUCCUUGCAUAUGCUAGUUUUUGCUUGCUACGAUAAUUUGUUUGCCUAUAAUAUGCCUAUGCAUAGGAAGUAUGUUAGACUUAAGUGUGUUUGUCAGAUGUUUUAUGAUGCUCUCUUUAUGCUUCAAUUCUUGUCUUUCACGUGAGCAUCAUUGAAAUCUUAAUGCCUAGCUAAAAAGGCUUUAAAAAAAGCGCUUGUUGGGAGACAACCCAAUAUUUUUCAUUGAUUCUUAGUAAUAAAUAUUUGUUCUAGCCUCUGGUUAGAUGUGUUUUUAUGUUUUAAUUAGUGUUUGUGCCAAGUUAAACCUAUAGGAUCUUCUUGGAUGAUAGUUAUUUGAUCUUGCUGUAAUUUCCAGAAACUUUCUGUUCACAAAAACAAUUGUUAAAAAUCACGAGAACGUGAUAAAAUAUUGAUUCCAAUUGAUGCUGAUCAAUAAACAAAUUGUCUAGGUCGUCCUAUUUUGGCUGAUUUUUUGGAGUUCCAGAAGUUUGCGUCAGUUACGGAUUACUACAGACUAUUCUGUUUUUGACAGAUUCUGUUUUUCGUGUGUUGUUUGCUUAUUUUGAUGAAUCUAUGGCUAGUAAAAUAGUUUAUAAACCAUAUAGAAGUUGGAAUACAGUAGGUUUAACACCAAUAUAAAUAAAUAAUGAGUUCAUUACAGUACCUUGGAGUGGUCUUUUGUUUUCUUUCGCUAACGGAGCUCACGAGAUUUUCUGUUGAGUUUUGUGUUGUGAAGUUUUCAAGUUUUGGGUGAAAGAUUAGAUGGAUUAUGGAACAAGGAGUGGCAAGAGCCUAAGCUUGGGGAUGCCCAUGGCACCCCCAAGAUAAUCUAAGGACACCAUAAAGCCAAAACUUGGGGAUGCCCCAGAAGGCAUCCCCUCUUUGGUCUACUUCCAUCGGUAACUUUACUUGGAGCUAUAUUUUUAUUCACCACACGAUAUGUGUUUUGCUUGGAGCGUCUUGUAUGAUUUGAGUCUUUGCUUUUUAGUUUACCACAAUCGUCCUUGCUGUACACACCUUUUGAGAGAGCUAUACAUGAUUUGGAAUUUGUUAGAAUACUCUAUGUGCUUCGCUUAUAUCUUUUGAGUUAUAUAGUUUUGCUCUAGUGCUUCACUUAUAUCUUUUAGAGCACGGUGGUGGAUUUGUUUUAUAGAAACUAUUGAUCUCUCAUGCUUCACUUAGAUUAUUUUGAGAGUCUUUAAUAGCAUGAUAAUUUGCUUAAAUAAUCCUAAUAUGCUUGGUAUUCAAGAUUAGUAAAAACUUUCUUAUGAGCGUGUUUAAUACUAAGAAAAGUUUGAUGCUUGAUAAUUGUUUUGAGAUAUAAAGAUGGUGAUAUUAGAGUCAUGCUAGUUGAGUAGUUGGGAAUUUGAGAGAUACUUGUGUUAAAGUUUGUGAUUCCCGUAGCAUGCACGUAUGGUGAACUGUUAUGUGAUGAAGUCGGAGCAUAAUUUAUUUAUUGAUUGUCUUCCUUAUGAGUGGCGGUCGGGGACGAGCGAUGGUCUUUUCCUACCAAUCUAUCCCCCUAGGAGCAUGCGCGUAAUACUUUGCUUUGAUAACUUGUAGAUUUUUUCAAUAAGUAUAUGAGUUCUUUAUGACUAAUGUUGAGUCCAUGGAUUAUACGCACUCUUCUUCCUUCCACCAUUGCUAGCCUCUCUAAUACCACGCACUUUUCGCCGGUAUCAUACACCCACCAUAAACCUUCCUCAAAACAGCCACCAUACCUACCUAUCAUGGCAUUUCCAUAGCCAUUUCGAGAUAUAUUGCCAUGCAACUUUCCACCGUUCCGUUUAUUAUGACACGCUCCUUCAUUGUCAUAUUGCUUUGCAUGAUCAUGUAGUUGACAUCGUAUUUGUGGCAAAGCCACCGUUCAUAAUUCUUUCAUACAUGUCACUCUUGAUUCAUUGCAUAUCCCGGUACACCGCCGGAGGCAUUCAUAUAGAGUCAUAUCUUGUUCUAAGUAUCGAGUUGUAAUUGUUGAGUUGUAAGAAAAUAAAAGUGUGAUGAUCUUCAUUUUUAGAGCAUUGUCCCGAGGAAAAGGAUGAUGGAGACUAUGAUUCCCCCACAAGUCGGGAUGAGAUUCCAGACGAAAAAAAGAGGCCAUAAAAGAGACCCAAAUAAAAAAAUGAGAGAAAAAGAGAGAAGGGACAAUGUUACUAUCCUUUUACCACACUUGUGCUUCAAAGUAGCACCAUGAUCUUCAUGAUAGAGAGUCUUUCAUUUUGUCACUUUCAUAUACUAGUGGGAAUUUUUCAUUAUAGAACAUGGCUUGUAUAUUCCCAAUGAUGGGCUUCCUCAAAAUGCCCUAGGUCUUCGUGAGCAAGCAAGUUGGAUGCACACCCACUUAGUUUCUUUUGUUGAGCUUUCAUAUACUUAUAGCUCUAGUGCAUCCGUUGCAUGGCAAUCCCUACUCACUCACAUUGAUAUCUAUUGAUGGGCAUCUCCAUAGCCCGUUGAUACGCCUAGUUGAUGUGAGACUAUCUUCCCCCUUUUUUGUCUUCCCCACAACCACCAUUCUAUUCCACAUAUAGUGCUAUGUCCAUGGCUCACGCUCAUGUAUUGCGUGAAGAUUGAAAAAGUUUGAAAAUAUCAAAAGUAUGAAACAAUUGCUUGGCUUGUCAUCGGGGUUGUGCAUGAUUUAAAUACUUUGUGUGGUGAAGAUAGAGCAUAGCCAGACUAUAUGAUUUUGUAGGGAUAACUUUCUUUGGCCAUGUUAUUUUGAGAAGACAUGAUUGCUUAGUUAGUAUGCUUGAAGUACUAUUAUUUUUUAUGUCAAUAUUAAACUUUUGUCUUGAAUCUUUCGGAUCUGAAUAUUCAUACCACAAUUAAGAAGAAUUACAUUGAAAUUAUGCCAAGUAGCAUUCCACAUCAAAAAUUCUGUUUUUAUCAUUUACCAACUCGAGGACGAGCAGGAAUUAAGCUUGGGGAUGCUUGAUACGUCUCCAACGUAUCUAUAAUUUUGUAUUGCUCCAUGCUAUAUUAUCUUCUGUUUUGGACAUUAUUGGGCUUUAUUAUUCACUUUUAUAUUAUUUUUGGGACUAACCUAUUAACCGGAGGCCCGGCCCUUAAUUGCUGUUUUCUGCCUAUUUCAGAGUUUCGCAGAAAAAGAAUAUCAAACGGAGUCCAAACGGAAUGAAACCUUCGGGAAUGUGAUUUUUAGAACGAACAUGAUCCAGGAGACUUGGACCCUAUGUCAAGGAAGCUUCCAGGAAGCCACUAGGUAGGGGGCGCGCCUACCCCCCCCCCAGGCGUGCCCUCUACCCUCGUGGGCCCCAUGUUGCUCCACCGACGUACUCCUUCCUCCUAUAUAUACCUACGUACCCCCAAACGAUCAGAUACGGAGCCAAAAACCUAAUUCCAUCGCCGCAACCUUUUGUACCCACGAGAUCCCAUCUUGGGGCCUGUUCCGGAGCUCUGCCGGAGGGGCCAUCGAUCAUGGAGGGCUUCUACAUCAUUACCAUAGCCCCUCCGAUGAAGUGUGAGUAGUUUACCUCAGACCUUCGGGUCCAUAGUUAUUAGCUAGAUGGCUUCUUCUCUCUUUUUGGAUCUCAAUACAAUGUUCUCCCCUUCUCUCGUGGAGAUCUAUUCGAUGUAAUCUUCUUUUUGCGGUGUGUUUGUUGAAACCGAUGAAUUGUGGGUUUAUGAUCAAGUUUAUCUAUGAACAAUAUUUGAAUCUUCUCUGAAUUCUUUUAUGUAUGAUUGGUUAUCUGUUCAAGUCUCUUCGAAUUAUCUGUUUGGUUUGGCCUACUAGAUUGAUCUUUCUUGCAAUGGGAGAAGUGCUUAGCUUUGGGUUCAAUCUUGCGGUGUCCUUUCCCAGUGACAGUAGGGGCAGCAAGGCACGUAUUGUAUUGUUGUCAUCGAGGAUAACAAGAUGGGGUUUUUUUAUCAUAUUGCAUGAAUUUAUCCCUCUACAUCAUGUCAUCUUGCUUAUGGCGUUACUCUGUUUUUAUGAACUUAAUACUCUAGAUGCAUGCUGGAUAGCGGUCGAUGAGUGGAGUAAUAGUAGUAGAUGCAGGCAGGAGUCGGUCUACUUGUCUCGGACGUGAUGCCUAUAUACAUGAUCAUACCUAGAUAUUCUCAUAACUAUGCUCAAUUCUGUCAAUUGCUCAACGGUAAUUUGUUCACCCACCGUAGAAUACUUAUGCUCAUGAGAGAAGCCACUAGUGAAACCUAUGGCCCCUGGGUCUAUCUUCAUCAUAUUAAUCUUCCAACACUUAGUUAUUUCCUUUCCUUUUUACUUUGUUUUUUUUACUUUGCAUCUUUGUCACAAAAAUACCAAAAAUAUUAUCUUAUCAUAUCAAUCAGAUCUCACUCUCGCAAGUGGCCGUGAAGGGAUUGACAACCCCUUGUCGCGUUGGUUGCGAGGAUUUUUUUGUUUUGUGUAGGUGCAAGGGACUCGCGCGUAGCCUCCUACUGGAUUAAUACCUUGGUUCUUAAAAACUGAGGGAAAUACUUACGCUACUUUGCUGCAUCACCUUUCCUCUUCAAGGAAAAACCAACGCAGUGCUCAAGAGGUAGCACAUAGCAGGUAAGGAGUUAGAUUCACUCAAGUAUUGGUGACUAAUAGACCUAUUAUUUUAUUUUAGAGAAAGCAUGCGUGGAAAUAUCAUUCACUGAUAUAAAUAACGCGGCACCGCUCAUGAUUUGCCUCUGGUGUUUGCCAUACAACAACAGCAGUAGUACAAAGAUGUUUGACUGUACAUGUGAAUAAAGAUAUGACAAUAGCAGGUAUAGAUAAUUUGAGG
Molecule: long non-coding RNA, 7365 nt
Filed under: Triticum aestivum (bread wheat)
Lineage: Eukaryota; Viridiplantae; Streptophyta; Magnoliopsida; Poales; Poaceae
Description: long non-coding RNA (TAES_LNC000756)
Source: RNAcentral